UCGGAGAUUCAUGGAUUCCAUACUUUGCAAGAUCUGGAUAUACAAACUAUGUUGGAUGAAGCUUACACUAGGUGGCUCCGUCCAAACGAGAUCCAUGCUCUUCUUUGUAAUCAUAAAUUCUUCACCAUCAACGUCAAACCAGUGAAUUUGCCCAAAAGUGGUACAAUUGUGUUGUUCGACCGGAAGAUGUUGAGGAACUUUAGAAAGGAUGGUCAUAACUGGAAAAAGAA
Molecule: non-coding RNA, 230 nt
Organism: Camelina sativa (false flax)
Lineage: Eukaryota; Viridiplantae; Streptophyta; Magnoliopsida; Brassicales; Brassicaceae
Source: RefSeq, a predicted model, not a curated record